Molecule: ribosomal RNA, 1000 nt
Filed under: uncultured Mycoplasma sp.
Lineage: Bacteria; Bacillati; Mycoplasmatota; Mollicutes; Mycoplasmatales; Mycoplasmataceae
Description: bacterial SSU rRNA
Rfam family: Bacterial small subunit ribosomal RNA
Source: RNAcentral
AACACUACAUUGAGGAAAUGCUUUGUAGCUGACGGUACCUUAUCAGAAAGCGAUGGCUAACUAUGUGCCAGCAGCCGCGGUAAUACAUAGGUCGCAAGCGUUAUCCGGAAUUAUUGGGCGUAAAGCGUUCGUAGGCUGUUUAUUAAGUCUGGAGUCAAAUCCCAGGGCUCAACCCUGGCUCGCUUUGGAUACUGGUAAACUAGAGUUAGAUAGAGGUAAGCGGAAUUCCAUGUGAAGCGGUGAAAUGCGUAGAUAUAUGGAAGAACACCAAAGGCGAAGGCAGCUUACUGGGUCUAUACUGACGCUGAGGGACGAAAGCGUGGGGAGCAAACAGGAUUAGAUACCCUGGUAGUCCACGCCGUAAACGAUGAUCAUUAGUCGGUGGGUUAUUCACUGACGCAGCUAACGCAUUAAAUGAUCCGCCUGAGUAGUAUGCUCGCAAGAGUGGAACUUAAAGGAAUUGACGGGGACCCGCACAAGCGGUGGAGCAUGUGGUUUAAUUUGAAGAUACACGGAGAACCUUACCCACUCUUGACAUCUUCCGCAAAGCUAUAGAGAUAUAGUGGAGGUUAACGGAAUGACAGAUGGUGCAUGGUUGUCGUCAGCUCGUGUCGUGAGAUGUUUGGUCAAGUCCUGCAACGAGCGCAACCCCUAUCUUCAGUUACUAACGAGUUAUGUCGAGGACUCUGGAGAUACUGCCUGGGUAACUGGGAGGAAGGUGGGGAUGACGUCAAAUCAUCAUGCCUCUUACGAGUGGGGCAACACACGUGCUACAAUGGUCGGUACAAAGAGAAGCAAUAUGGCGACAUGGAGCAAAUCUCAAAAAGCCGAUCUCAGUUCGGAUUGAAGUCUGCAACUCGACUUCAUGAAGUCGGAAUCGCUAGUAAUCGCAGAUCAGCUAUGCUGCGGUGAAUACGUUCUCGGGUCUUGUACACACCGCCCGUCACACCAUGGGAGCUGGUAAUACCCAAAGUCGGUUUGCUAACCUCGGAGGCGACUG